CAAAUAUUGACUGCCUGCUGUCCCCCUGUUCCGGGUGCCAGGAGUAUAGUGGACACAAGACCCCUGCCCUUAGAGGCCUUACAUUGUAACAGGAGUGCUGGACAGAUGUGCCUGUCUGUCGCAGACUGAGGAGCGCCAGGAAGUCCAAAGCCAAGCCCAAUGGCAAGAAGCCUGCUGCGGAGGAGAGGAAAGCCUACCUGGAGCCUGAGCACACCAAGGCCAGGAUCACCGACUUCCAGUUCAAGGAGCUGGUGGUGCUGCCCCGCGAGAUUGACCUUAACGAGUGGCUGGCCAGCAACAGUGCGCGGGGGCCUGGGGGCGGGCCCCUUCCCUCCUCCCUGCUCCUCCUCGAAGCCCCUCCUCAAGGAGGACCCCCAUGGCUGGUGCUCAGCAGCCCCCUGCCGCGAGGGGAGAGUGUGGCCCGUGGACAGGCGGAGCUCACCCAG
This 446-nucleotide small RNA is filed under the name Pongo abelii (Sumatran orangutan). Its description in RNAcentral is "retained intron". Lineage: Eukaryota; Metazoa; Chordata; Mammalia; Primates; Hominidae. The record is from RNAcentral.